This 286-nucleotide long non-coding RNA is filed under the name Apteryx rowi (Okarito brown kiwi). RNAcentral's name for it is "lncRNA (ENSARWG00000007058.1)". Lineage: Eukaryota; Metazoa; Chordata; Aves; Apterygiformes; Apterygidae. The record is from RNAcentral.
UCCGGGGCGGCCGCGGGCCUGCGGAGCGGCGCGGCCGAGGGGGCGCGCGGGGCGCGCGGCGCCAACGGUCACUGACGCAGGUAUGGUGUAUCUGAGUGUGGAAUCCUCUUCACCUGAAUAUCUUAGAGCUACAGAAUGGAGGGAGAACUCCUUUACACGUUGCAGGAAAUCUGAACAUGUGUCGUGGCACGUGAAGGCAUCAUAAAUGACAAAGUUAAUGAGCUGUACGUGGCAGGACUAGUGAGUGCUCUUCCAUGAAGUUACGAGCAAAGAGAGAAGGAUGUGA